GUUUUCCUUGAAUGGCUUUGAUUAUGUACCUGUGAAAACAUCUAUUAAGGUCUACUUCAAUUUAUUACCAUAACUUACUGUGUUAUGGUUAUAAUUAAGAAGUACUACCAGCUUUGGGGGGACGUGGGUGGCGCUGUGGGUUAAACCACAGAGCCUAGGACUUGCUGUUCAGAAGGUCGGAGGUUCGAAUCCCCACGAUGGGGUGAGUUGAUUGGUCCCUGCUCUUGCCAACUAGCAGUUCGAAAGCACAUCAAAGUGCAAGUAGAUAAAUAGGUACCACUCUGGCGGGAAGGUAAACGGCAUUUCCGUGCACUGCUCUGGUUCGCCAGAAGCGGCUUAGUCAUGCUGGUCACAUGACCCGGAAGCUUUAUGCCUGCUCCCUCGGCCAAUAAAUUGAGAUGAGCGCCACAACCCCAGAGUCGGCCAUGACUGGACCUAAUGGUCAGGGGUCCUUUUACCUUUACCUUUACCAGCUUUGGAGUGGGCCAAAUUUCCAGGUACUGCAUUCUCCAAUUCAAGCCAAGGAAUUGAAUAGUUUGUGGUGAUGGCAACUUCUUUUCCCCUUCCACAUUGUCAAGGCCUUCUCCUGCAUCAAGCAAAACUAAUGCAUAGUAGAGGUGAGGAACUGUUCUCCUCUUCUCCUCAUGGCCCAAGCUUGAUAGGUGAGCAAGGACACACCAGUGAGGAAGUUAGACAAGAACUUUACUGUCUCUCUUAAGAAGAGAACAGAAAUACAAUGCUCUUGAUACAAUUAAUGUCAGUGCCAGCUAGCGACUAAUUUGUAUAAUGACACUAUCCCUGCACAAAUGAUUGGCAGGAUCAUCAGAAGGAUCCUUCCAUUCCCCUGUGUUAAAUUCUAUCACCAAGCACCAACAGACUCCCAAACCAUCAAGGGCAACAUUUUAAAAACAAUCAGGCAACACUGGCUGUAUAUUUCCCCUCUAACCCUCUAUCUUUCCUGGGUUGCGUUGGAAUUGAGUUAAUAAGCUGUUGCAGUGAAGAUGCUGCUCUAAUGAAGAACGAACAAAACAUAGUCCUUUCCAGUGGCAAUUACUUCAUGACAUGCCAGUGUUAAUAAUUUUUGAACAGCUGGCACCCAAACACUGCAGAAUAAUCAGCUUAGUUGUUGCCUAAGUAAUUCAUUCAAUCCUGACUGAUUCAUAUUUUGUUUCAGGAUGUAAAUGCUGAAUAAACAGCUCUUAUGCUAAUGCAUCGCCUGCUCUGAUAACAUGACAUCCUACAUCAGUUUUCAAGGACCACCUGAAGUCAUGCAAAUAAAUUAUUUGGCCUUAAUGAAGACAAC
Molecule: non-coding RNA, 1303 nt
Organism: Podarcis lilfordi (Lilford's wall lizard)
Lineage: Eukaryota; Metazoa; Chordata; Lepidosauria; Squamata; Lacertidae
Source: the annotation of a GenBank genome assembly